AAUUACUUGACUAACAUCAUUAGUGAAGUUGUGUGUUUUAGGUUGUUAGCCAAAUUGUUUGGAUGCCAUUUAUAUGUUUAUUUUAAAUGAACAUGAUUGGUAAGUUAAAUUCUUGUUAUACGAACUUAAUAAGCAUUAAAUGCUUAUUCUGUUUAUUUCCUCUAUUUUAUAGUACUCAGAAGCUCGUAAAGGUUGGAAGCUAGUCGAAGCAUCAUCAUACUAUCUCUCCGCUCAUUUUGG
RNAcentral lists this long non-coding RNA (240 nucleotides) under Gossypium raimondii (Peruvian cotton). Its description in RNAcentral is "long non-coding RNA (GRAI_LNC002146)". The record is from RNAcentral. Lineage: Eukaryota; Viridiplantae; Streptophyta; Magnoliopsida; Malvales; Malvaceae.